This 73-nucleotide transfer RNA is filed under the name Acidimicrobiaceae bacterium. RNAcentral describes it as "tRNA-Arg". It matches the Rfam family "tRNA". From Rfam's summary of the family: Transfer RNA (tRNA) molecules are approximately 80 nucleotides in length. Their secondary structure includes four short double-helical elements and three loops (D, anti-codon, and T loops). Lineage: Bacteria; Bacillati; Actinomycetota; Acidimicrobiia; Acidimicrobiales; Acidimicrobiaceae. The record is from RNAcentral. RNAcentral also lists the same sequence under 1 other name.
GCCCCCGUAGCUCAGUGGAUAGAGCAACGGUUUCCUAAACCGCAGGUCGCAGGUUCGAGUCCUGCCGGGGGCG